AUAUUGGACAAUGGGCGAAAGCCUGAUCCAGCAACGCCGCGUGAGGGAUGACGGCCUUCGGGUUGUAAACCUCUUUCAGUAUCGACGAAGCGCCCUGUCGGGUGGUGACGGUAGAUACAGAAGAAGGACCGGCCAACUACGUGCCAGCAGCCGCGGUAAUACGUAGGGUCCGAGCGUUGUCCGGAAUUAUUGGGCGUAAAGGGCUCGUAGGCGGUUUGUCGCGUCGGGAGUGAAAUCUUACAGCUUAACUGUGAACUUGCUUCCGAUACGGGCAGACUUGAGGCAUUCAGGGGAGAACGGAAUUCCUGGUGUAGCGGUGAAAUGCGCAGAUAUCAGGAGGAACACCGGUGGCGAAGGCGGUUCUCUGGGAAUGUACUGACGCUGAGGAGCGAAAGUGUGGGGAGCGAACAGG
Molecule: ribosomal RNA, 412 nt
Filed under: uncultured bacterium
Lineage: Bacteria
Description: bacterial SSU rRNA
Rfam family: Bacterial small subunit ribosomal RNA
Source: RNAcentral